Molecule: unclassified non-coding RNA, 372 nt
Filed under: soil metagenome
Description: partial contains 5.8S ribosomal RNA, internal transcribed spacer 2, and large subunit ribosomal RNA
Rfam family: 5.8S ribosomal RNA (bases 4-119)
Source: RNAcentral
GAUAAGAACGUAGCGAAAUGCGAUAAGUAAUGUGAAUUGCAGAAUUCAGUGAAUCAUCGAAUCUUUGAACGCACAUUGCGCCCGCCAGUAUUCUGGCGGGCAUGCCUGUUCGAGCGUCAUUACAACCCUCAAGCCCCCCGGCUUGGUGUUGGGGACCGGCCACCGGUGCCCUGCUGCUUCCGCGGCAGGCGCACCCGGCCGCCCCCGAAAUGAAUUGGCGGCCCCGUCGCGGCCUCCCUCUGCGUAGUAGCACACAUCUCGCAGCUGGAGCGCGGCGCGGCCACUGCCGUAAAACGCACCAACUUUUUUUACAGUUGACCUCGAAUCAGGUAGGAAUACCCGCUGAACUUAAGCAUAUCAAUAAGCGGAGGA